GUGGCCUUAGCUCAGCUGGGAGAGCGUCAGACUGAAGUCCAACUUCUAGUCCUCGUCUUCGAGAUUAUCUGAAGGUCGUGUGUUCGAGCCACACAGGCCACA
Molecule: transfer RNA, 102 nt
Filed under: Escovopsis weberi
Lineage: Eukaryota; Fungi; Ascomycota; Sordariomycetes; Hypocreales; Hypocreaceae
Rfam family: tRNA
About the family: Transfer RNA (tRNA) molecules are approximately 80 nucleotides in length. Their secondary structure includes four short double-helical elements and three loops (D, anti-codon, and T loops). Further hydrogen bonds mediate the characteristic L-shaped molecular structure. tRNAs have two regions of fundamental functional importance: the anti-codon, which is responsible for specific mRNA codon recognition, and the 3' end, to which the tRNAs corresponding amino acid is attached (by aminoacyl-tRNA synthetases). tRNAs cope with the degeneracy of the genetic code in two manners: having more than one tRNA (with a specific anti-codon) for a particular amino acid; and 'wobble' base-pairing, i.e. permitting non-standard base-pairing at the 3rd anti-codon position.
Source: Rfam by way of RNAcentral